UGAUCCAGGUCAUGCGCCCGCGCCUGAAAGGGGGCACGAAUUUCCCUGCGGCCACUGCGGCGUUGGCGAUGGCGGGCGAAUAGGCUUGGUAAACCGUGAUAGUCGUUGGAGUGUAUUGAGCUCGGAUGGCGUAUUUGGAUGGGGAUGUUUUUGGCUGCUCCAUUGCUUUCGAUUAGUGGGGGUGUUUUGAAAGGGUAUGUAUGUGUGGAUGCUGCGAUUCUGAGUUCGUGGAAUAAUUGCUCGUUGGAGGAGGAGUUGACCAGGGAAUGUUCGGGAGUUCGCAAUAUAUGAAUGGACCCGAUUCAAAUGCUCUCGUUGACAGUUUUCAAGAGCAGAGUUUGUGGCAGCCAUUUAUGUUUCUGGAGGCUUGAUCUGGGGCUGUUGCACUAAGCCACGCUGCGCAAAAAAAUGUGGACAGAUGCAUUGGACGCCUUGAAAUUAAUUUCCCCUUCGCGAGGAGGGUGGAGGAGGCGCAAGAAGGCUUCUUGUUUUUAACCAGUUAUACAUCCAGCUUAACGGCGUAGGCAAGGUCGUAUAUCUGGCCCGAUUUACUUCCCGCGCUGGUUUAGUUCCCCGACAACGCGGGGUUCGUAAUUCUGCCGAAGGCUCUACCAUCUGAGUCAUAUAUAGACGCAUUGCCACAGUUUGGAGAGAACGCCAAAGAUGGGGAAGCAGAUGCUAUCUUUUGCUCCAUGUUCUAUUUCGAGCGACGACUUCAAUGCGCUUCAAGGAUUGUUAUGUGACGAGGAGCAUUAAAGCAUAAAACAAGAAAUUUAACUACUAGUACCUAUUUAAAAUCUUGAACUC
RNAcentral lists this small RNA (807 nucleotides) under Histoplasma capsulatum var. duboisii H88. Its description in RNAcentral is "Histoplasma capsulatum H88 hypothetical RNA". Lineage: Eukaryota; Fungi; Ascomycota; Eurotiomycetes; Onygenales; Ajellomycetaceae. The record is from RNAcentral.